CUUAUUGGAGCUCGAAUGAAGGUUUAACAUAUAAUUCUUGGUUAUGGGUUUUUUGAUAAUUUAUAUUUUGCGUAAAAAUACGUAAAUGGGUUAAAGGGACGAUAAGACCCUAAAAGCUUUAUUUUUAAAGAAAUAUUCUUUAUUGUUUUAAUCUUAAUUUUUUGUAAAAUUUUUGGCUGGGGCAGCAUUUUUUUUUAACAAAAAAAUUUUUUUGCAGGUAGGUUUAAAGGUCCUUUAUAUAAGGAUAGUUUGUUUUAGUUACUUUAGGGAUAACAGCGCGAUAAUAAUGGGGAGACCUUAUUUAUAUUAUUGAUUGUGACCUCGAUGUUGAAUUAAUAUCUCUGUGUAAAGCAGAAAUUAUUUUUAGAAAGUUUGUUCAACUUUUAAAUUAUUACAUGAUCUGGUUU
This 407-nucleotide ribosomal RNA is filed under the name Talorchestia martensii. RNAcentral's name for it is "partial 16S ribosomal RNA". The record is from RNAcentral. Lineage: Eukaryota; Metazoa; Arthropoda; Malacostraca; Amphipoda; Talitridae.